RNAcentral lists this ribosomal RNA (70 nucleotides) under Pseudomonadota bacterium. RNAcentral describes it as "Proteobacteria bacterium partial 23S ribosomal RNA". The record is from RNAcentral. Lineage: Bacteria; Pseudomonadati; Pseudomonadota.
GAUCAAGCGUCUUAAGUGCAUCUAGUGGAUGCCUUGGCGUGCACAGGCGAUGAAGGACGUAAUACGCUGC